This 419-nucleotide ribosomal RNA is filed under the name bacterium. RNAcentral describes it as "partial 16S ribosomal RNA". It matches the Rfam family "Bacterial small subunit ribosomal RNA", at positions 355 to 776 of the family's 1533-position model. The record is from RNAcentral.
UGGGGGAUAUUGCACAAUGGGCGAAAGCCUGAUGCAGCGACGCCGCGUGGGGGAUGAAGGCCUUCGGGUUGUAAACUUCUUUUGCUCUGAACAAGGCGCACCAUGGGGUGUGUUGAGUGGAGGGGUUGAUUAGCGCCGGCUAACUACGUGCCAGCAGCCGCGGUAAUACGUAGGGCGCGAGCGUUGUCCGGAAUUAUUGGGCGUAAAGGGCUUGUAGGUGGCUGGUUGCGUCUGUCGUGAAAGCUAAUGGCUUAACUGUGGGUUUGCGGUGGGUACGGGCUGGCUUGAGUUCAGUAGGGGAGGCUGGAAUUCCUGGUGUAGCGGUGGAAUGCGCAGAUAUCAGGAGGAAUACCGGUGGCGAAGGCGGGUCUCUGGGCUGUUACUGACACUGAGGAGCGAAAGCAUGGGGAGCGAACAGG